AGAGGCGAUGAAGGACGUGCUAAUCUGCGAUAAGCGUCGGUGAGGUGAUAUGAACCGUUAUAACCGGCGAUUUCCGAAUGGGGAAACCCAGUGUGUUUCGACACACUAUCAUUAACUGAAUCCAUAGGUUAAUGAGGCGAACCGGGGGAACUGAAACAUCUAAGUACCCCGAGGAAAAGAAAUCAACCGAGAUUCCCCCAGUAGCGGCGAGCGAACGGGGAGGAGCCCAGAGCCUGAAUCAGUGUGUGUGUUAGUGGAAGCGUCUGGAAAGGCGCGCGAUACAGGGUGACAGCC
RNAcentral lists this ribosomal RNA (294 nucleotides) under Escherichia coli. RNAcentral describes it as "partial 23S ribosomal RNA". It matches the Rfam family "Bacterial large subunit ribosomal RNA", at positions 43 to 372 of the family's 2925-position model. Lineage: Bacteria; Pseudomonadati; Pseudomonadota; Gammaproteobacteria; Enterobacterales; Enterobacteriaceae. The record is from RNAcentral.